RNAcentral lists this microRNA (21 nucleotides) under Selaginella moellendorffii. Its description in RNAcentral is "smo-miR1112-3p". Lineage: Eukaryota; Viridiplantae; Streptophyta; Lycopodiopsida; Selaginellales; Selaginellaceae. The record is from miRBase by way of RNAcentral.
AGGAAUGCUAUAACAAAGUCA